Molecule: ribosomal RNA, 1160 nt
Filed under: Neotherrya abieticola
Lineage: Eukaryota; Fungi; Ascomycota; Leotiomycetes; Rhytismatales; Rhytismataceae
Description: eukaryotic LSU rRNA
Rfam family: Eukaryotic large subunit ribosomal RNA
Source: RNAcentral
GGGGGAAAGACCACAGGGGUUGCCUCAGUAACGGCGAGUGAAGCGGCAACAGCUCAAAUUUGAAAGCUGGCUCUCUCAGGGCCCGCGUUGUAAUUUGCAGAAGAUGCUUUGGGCGCAGCGCUGGUCUAAGUUCUUUGGAACGAGACGUCAUAGAGGGUGAGAAUCCCGUAUGUGACUGGUUGCUUGCGCCUGUGUAAAGCUCUUUCGACGAGUCGAGUUGUUUGGGAAUGCAGCUCUAAAUGGGUGGUGUACUUCAUCUAAAGCUAAAUAUUGGCCAGAGACCGAUAGCGCACAAGUAGAGUGAUCGAAAGAUGAAAAGCACUUUGGAAAGAGAGUUAAACAGUACGUGAAAUUGUUGAAAGGGAAGCGCUUGCAAUCAGACUUGAGCGGCGUCGAUCAGCCUGGGUUCUCCCUGGUGCACUCGACGCCGCGCAGGCCAGCAUCAGUUUCGGCGGUUGGAUAAAGGCCUAGGGAACGUGGGUCGCCUCGGCGACCGUUAUAGCCCUAGGUGCCAUGCAGCCUGCUGGGACUGAGGACCGCGCUUCGGCUAGGAUGCUGGCGUAAUGGUUGUAAGCGGCCCGUCUUGAAACACGGACCAAGGAGUCUAACAUUUGUGCGAGUGUUUGGGUGUCAAACCCAUGCGCGUAAUGAAAGUGAACGGGGGUGAGAACCCUUUAGGGUGCAUCAUCGACCGAUCCUGAUGUCUUCGGAUGGAUUUGAGUAAGAGCAUAACUGUUGGGACCCGAAAGAUGGUGAACUAUGCCUGAAUAGGGUGAAGUCAAAGGAAACUUUGAUGGAGGCUCGCAGCGGUUCUGACGUGCAAAUCGAUCGUCAAAUUUGGGUAUAGGGGCGAAAGACUAAUCGAACCAUGAGCCUUAUAUUGCUAGGUGGUUGAGAGGCCUGAAAGGCCUAGUCGCUUCGGUGGCAAUACUGCAAAACUGCGGGGACUGCUCUAGAGGCGCAGGCUACCACAGCGGGCUCGAAAGGGCUCGCCACGGUUACAAGGCCUGGCGUCUGAGCUGAUCCGCAACCUUCGCCUACCGCGCUCCCUACCCGGGAGCGGCCACGGCGCAGGCUCAUCGACUAGAUGGCAGUGGGUGCGCGGUGCGCCUAAGGGAUAGUCAGGUUGCAGCUGCCACGCUGCAGCUACGCGAUUGGCC